UCAUUGUGAAAGACAUGGGUAGUGAGAUGUUCAUUAUUUUUUUUUGUCUCACUACCUUGUCUUUCAUGAGGUA
Dendroctonus ponderosae (mountain pine beetle) is the source of this 73-nucleotide non-coding RNA. The record is from Rfam. Lineage: Eukaryota; Metazoa; Arthropoda; Insecta; Coleoptera; Curculionidae.